UAAGUUGUAUAGUACUGAUCGUGUAAUCAGUACUGGACUGUCUGAUUCGGCUCACUGUGAAACUGUGGUGGCACAAAUUAGCUAUUGAAGCUAUUAGAAACUGCUGAUAAAUUUAUGCACUUUCCUCACAGGUUUUUGAACUCCCAAAGAUAAGUCUGAAAAUGAAAGAGAUGCACUGGGACAUCAAGCUACAAUUCAGCCAGGACAGGUAAUGUCAUUUUCAGACGUUCAUCAUAUUCUGAAAACUGUGACAUGCUGGUCAGAUUUACCGAUGAUGCAGGUGUUUAUGAGGAAGGGAUUGACACAGGUGGUCCAAGAUGAGAAUUUUUUAACUCUGCUAAUGAAGCACCUGAAAGACCGGCCAAUUUUUGAUGGACCAGAGGGACAUCGGUUCUUGGUCUAUAAUGCAAAUGCUGUUAGGGAGGAUGAAUACUUCCUGGCAGGACAGAUGAUUGCAGUUUCAGUUGUACAUGGAGGUCCGGGACCCCAUUUCCUGUCAGAAGAUCUUGUACAGUAUCUUGCUGGCCAGCCUUCAUUCAAACCAACAGUUAAUUUAAUAACUGAUGAAGAAAUAGGGAAAGCUUUGCGAGAGAUUGAGAAUGCUGCUACAUUGGAUGCUCUACAAGAAUGUAUCAUGAGACACAGCACAAUGUUGCAGACAGCAGGCUGUCUUAGACAUGUGGCUGCUGUGGACGAAAAGACAGAAAUUGUGGCCGACUACCUCCAGUGGUAUAUUUUUGACCGCAACUCAUCUGUAAUUGACAGUGUGUUCACUUUGUAGAUUCAAAGAUGGUCUUUCAGCUCUUCAGUUCCUGACUGCACUACAGCAACACCCUACUUUGCUGACCCCUGUCCUGUGCCACUGUGAAAAGCGACUGACUGCCUUUGAGCUUGAGAGACUCUUCAAACCUCAACUCAGCCCUUCAGGGAGUAAUAGGAGACUGAAAGAAAGCCAAACCUUGGCCUGCUGGGCAGACUAUCUCCUUGAUUGUGAAGAAGGCGAGGCUGCUGUGUCUGUGGAAGACAUUUUGAUGUUUGCAACUGGGCUGACAUCACUUCCCCCAUCUGGCUUGGAACCACUGCCACAAAUAGAGUUCCUGGAUGACGUUCCACUCCCAAUGGCAAAUACAUGUUCAAACUUGUUGAAAUUACCAUUUCUGGAUUCAUAUAGUGUGUUUAAGUCACAAAUGGACUUUGGAAUUCAAAAUAGUCCAGGAUUUGGUUGUCUAUAAACUAUAUAGCUAGAUAACCAUUAGAGUAGUGUUUUUCAAACCUGGUCAUCCAGGCACAAUGCCCUGCACGUUUUAGA
RNA transcript from Archocentrus centrarchus (flier cichlid), 1309 nucleotides. It is a transcript of the gene named G2/M phase-specific E3 ubiquitin-protein ligase-like, with no coding region annotated. The record is from RefSeq and is a predicted model, not a curated record. Lineage: Eukaryota; Metazoa; Chordata; Actinopteri; Cichliformes; Cichlidae. The transcript has 6 exons.